Molecule: RNA transcript, 2689 nt
Organism: Corticium candelabrum
Lineage: Eukaryota; Metazoa; Porifera; Homoscleromorpha; Homosclerophorida; Plakinidae
Gene name: coiled-coil domain-containing protein 25-like
Exons: 2
Source: RefSeq, a predicted model, not a curated record
UUGUUGUUGUUGUUGUUGUUGUUGUUGUUAGUGUUGGUGGUGGUGGUGGUGGUGGUGGUGGUGUGUGUGUGUGUGCAUGUGUGUCACUCAAGCUGGCUGGCUUGUUUGCGCUAACUUAAUUAACAGGCCUUGGAGAAGCAAACCUAAAGUGCUACAGCCAAACUCAAGCUAGAAAGCGAGGUCAUUCCACCGGACCCUGAUUGAUUACAUUUCGCAGGUCCACUUACAAGUGGCAUGAUAAUAUAAGCACAGCUGGACACCAUAAGAAUAUUCUGAAGAAUAUUAUUGAGAGUAGCUGAAGAAGAAGCUUAUCAGUAUCUCUCAGCAUGCAGGGUGGGCUGUUCUGUUUUUUUGGGUGAGUGCAACCAAACCCGUAGACAGAGAAUUGGAUUAUGGGCGCCAUUUUGUGUCCAACCAAUGGUAGAAAAAAUUCUUGUAUAAAUUGUACGAACAUCGACAAAGCUUGAAGUUAAUGGAAGUUAUUACUAUACAUAUGAACAACACUUUCCCUAAUUUUUGACAGACUUUACAUGUACGUUGAGUAAUUUUUAACAAUGGCUUUGUAUAAUCCCAAUGACGAUAGGGUUAGAGUGCAAUUGUCAUUUUGAAAGAUCUCACGUUGCUUUCCUUGGUACUUGAAAAACUAAGUGAUGACAUCAACAGGAAGUGAAACUCGUGAAACUUUGAGAUUUUUCGCGGUGAGUGCUGCCUUUGAGUUCGGACUGUCUCAGUAGUUAGGCUUUCCCAGAUGUUGCAAGCGUAGCCAGACUGAGAUUACGCAGGAGCACAGGGACACCUUUACAGUUGUUUCUUUAUUUUUGGCUUAUAAUGUAUUAAUUAGAAGCUAUACUAAAGUUUUACAUUUAGUACAAUACAUUUGCUGCUUGUUCAACUUCAUUAUGGGAUCAUAGCGUACACAGAUCUACGGGGAAACGGAGUGGGAAAGAUGGGAUAAAUACACAUGCGCAUGUCUAUACACAGUGCGAAUUCAACUUGUGCAAUGGUAUUUAUGGUCGCAGAAUUUGCAUGAUUUAGAUCACCGCACAAAUUUCUGGUUUUACUGUACUUGGGGGACACAUGUGGGUGACAAUGCAAAGUAUACUUCUGAUAGGUUUAUGCAGGAGCUUGUUCAUGCAUUGGGAGAUGUUGUCAGAGAAACACGCUACUGAAGGCAGUACAUUUUCCUGCUGUUGCAAUCGUUAUUAAUGAAAUAACUGAUAUUUCUGUCUUCAUUUACUUAAUACUUUCUUCAUGGGGAAGCUAGAAUGGAUUUUUUGCUGUUGUCGAUCUGGUUGAUGGAAGAACAGUUGCGAUUAAGAAUGGUAUCUUGCAGUUUUGUAAAACAUUUGAUUUGAAAAUUUAAUUUGCACUUGGCGGUGAUGGUGCUAGUGUUAUGCAGGAAAGUAAGGGCGACUGACGUUGCUCAACUCUUAAAAGCCCAAGUGCCCUACCUUGUCACACACCACUGUGUUGCUCACAGGCUGGCAUUGACUUGUGGACAGGCUUCAAAUGAAAUUCCAUACAAUGAUACCCUUGCCCAGCUUUACCAUUAUUAAAAUUCUCCUUUUUGGAAUGGCUAGUCUAAUAUUUAUGGGAAUACAAGACGUUCUCCAUGACCCUCAAUUGAAAUUACUCAGGUAAAGGAUGUCAAAUGGCUAUACCAUGACAAGAUUGUAACCUAUCUACGUCAAUCUUUAUGUUCUGUCUUGAAAACAUUGGAAAGAGAGGCAAAUGAACGAGCAAAUGCACAAGCUGAAGGCUUGGCCAUGUUUAUCAAGAAUUUAAACUUUGUUGCAUCCCUCUACUUUCUUUCUGAUAUAUUGCCACCUCUGGCAAAUUUAUCACACGCGCCUCAAAGAGUAAACAUUAACUUGUCUUCUCAACUGUUAAGCCAUCAAAGGGAAUGAAAUCAACAAUAGAAUCUCUUACAUCAGAGCAGGGACUUCAUCAGAUAUGGAGAGUUUGGUCAAGUAUGGAUUUGAUAGCAUAAGUGAACAGAAGAUGAAGAAAUUUCACAGUUAGAUUUACAAACCAUUUAAGAACAACACUAUCUCGGAACUUGGAUUUGAGAUUUGCUGAUAUAGCUUUACUGGAGACGUUUAACAUAUUUGAUCCUUCAGAGGGAAGAGGAACCUCAGUCAGUUCUUAAUGCUAAACUAGCUAAGCUGUCUGGUCAGUACGGCUCACGUAAGGUGGGAGACUCAAUCCAGUCUUUUCAUGUGUAAAGCAGUGUUUUUCGGCAUCUGUACUCAGCACUCCACAGUUUGAAGAGCCACAUUGUACAUGACUUAAUUAAUGUUUUAAGUUAACUACCCAUCAACAGCACAGAUUCAUUUCCAAACCUCCAAACUAUGUCGACUGCAGACUGUGAAAGGGGAUUUUCUGCAUUAAGAAUCAAAGCUGACCUACACAAUUGCUUCAGGUGCAAGACAGUUUGAAUGCUCUUAUGAUGAUAUCUACAGAAGAACAUGUCAACCCUGAUGGAUUUUUUCUACUGAGAGAGCUUGUGCUAUAGGGUCAAGGUGGAGGAGGAACACACGGAUUGAAAGAUGCCAACUCGGAUGGGCAUAGAUGACAUUCCAGAAGGUGUUAUCAUGGAUUGUGCCCAGUUAGUCAAGGCAAACAGCAUCGAGGGCUCAAAGCUAUCCACCACUGACGUGAAGUACACUCCUUGGUCAAAUCUUAAGAA